RNAcentral lists this unclassified non-coding RNA (1485 nucleotides) under Hevea brasiliensis (rubber tree). The record is from RNAcentral. Lineage: Eukaryota; Viridiplantae; Streptophyta; Magnoliopsida; Malpighiales; Euphorbiaceae.
GAAAGCAAAUUACAAACAUAAAUGACACUUCCAUUCAUCAAACCAACAUCUUCCUGUCCUUCACGAGCGCCAGCAGCGGAGUCCGCAUCACCACCGUGAACUCCAGCUUGUCGCCAAAGUCCAUGGCGGUCUGCGAGGGGUGUGCGCUCCACUCGAAUGCCUGCACCAUGCGUGCCACCAUCAGCGUGAUGUGGGUCAUUCCCAUGGACAGGCCAGGGCAGACGCGCCGCCCUGCACCGAACGGGAUCAUGCGGAUUCCCUUUGCACCAGUCAUGUCGGCACUCUCGCCCCCAGUCAGAAAUCGUUCUGGGUCGAACUCCAUUGGCUUUUUCCAUAGGCGAGGGUCCUCUGAAAUGGUCGGAAAGAAGAUCUCAAGGUUAGCCCCUGCAGGGAUGUCGUAGCCAGCGAGCUUUGACGUCUCUAUGGCAGCAUGGGUGAGCGAGAAGUAGGUUGGUGGGUGCUUCCGCAGCAGUUCCUUCACGAAUACCUGCAAGAAUUGCAUCUGCUCUGUGUCGGCCUCGUCGACCGGUCGGUCGCCCGCCACUGCUAAGAUCUCAUUGUAUAUCCUUUCCUGCAUCGCGGGGUUCUCAAUUAGCCUGGCGAUGGCCCACUCCAUAGCCGUCGCGGUGGUGUCGGUUCCACCAUUGAUGAACUCCGAACACAAGGUGACUAGCUCAUCAUAUGUCGGAACAGAGUCUCUGCCCUCCACUUUGAGGUCCAAGAGAGAGUCGAGGUAUGAAAAUGGCGCAGCAUUGCUGUAUUCUUUCGGGUUUUCGAGUAUAGCUCGACGUUUCUCAAUUAGAGGCACAACGGUGUUGAUCUGCAACUGCCUCACCUCCAGUGCCUCCUUCCUCUGCUUGGCGAAGAACGGUGCUAGGAGGGGGAGGUAGUCGUCCAUCCUUGGCAUGAGGGUCAUCAGCACCUUCUUCAUAACCUCAUCGACUCGCAUAAUUGACUUCUCGUCAAGCUCGACGCCGAAGCACAUGGAGAGUAGGAUGCAGAAGACGGCAAACCGGACGUUCUUGAGCACCCAGACGGCUCCGCCGGAGGAUUCCGCUUCGGAGCGGAUGCGGUUGAUGAAGCGGUCCAUGGCGGCCAGGCGAGUUGGACGGAACUCACGGAGGCGGGCGUUGCUGAGCAUUCCAGACACCAUGUUGCGGCGGAGGGAGCGCCAUUCAGGGCCGUAGAGGGCGGAGUUGACGGUGAACUUGUCACAGCUGAAGAUGGUGCGGGUGGGGUUCUCAGGUGGCCGGCUGCAGAAGAGUUGGCUCUUCUCUAUUAGGGCUUCGUGGGCGAGCUCAUGGCUGGUGAUGACGAUCAUCGUGCGUGCUCCCAUGCGAAGGGUGAAGAGGGGACCGUAGACGGCGUUGACGUCCCUGACAUAGUGGAUGAAGGCUUUGCCAGAGCGAGCGACUUGGAAGAGGUUUCCGACGAUCGGCCAGCCGGGAGGGCCGGGGGGAAGAUUUAGACGCUUCGAGCUGCGGG